This 73-nucleotide transfer RNA is filed under the name bacterium. RNAcentral describes it as "tRNA-Lys". It matches the Rfam family "tRNA". From Rfam's summary of the family: Transfer RNA (tRNA) molecules are approximately 80 nucleotides in length. The record is from RNAcentral.
GGGGGCGUAGCUCAGUUGGCAGAGCAACGGCUUUUUAAGCCGUGGGUCGCAGGUCCGAGUCCUGCCGCCCUCA